AGAGAGAGACAUGCGCGCAUAUCAAUAAGCGGAGGAAAAGAAACUAGCAAGGAUUCCCUUAGUAACGGCGAGUGAAGCGGGAAGAGCUCAAAUUUGAAAUCUUCAAGGUUUUACCUUGACGAAUUGUAGUUUAAAGAAGUGUUUUCUGCUGAAGUUUUGGUAAAAGUUCUUUGGAAUAGGACAUCAUAGAGGGUGAGAAUCCCGUAUUUGACCAUUAUUUCCAGCUUUGUGAUACACUUUCAAAGAGUCGGAUUGUUUGGGAAUGCAGUCCAAAAUGGGUGGUAAAUUUCAUCUAAAGCUAAAUAUUGGCGAGAGACCGAUAGCGAACAAGUACCGUGAGGGAAAGAUGAAAAGAACUUUGAAAAGAGAGUUAAACAGUACGUGAAAUUGUCAAAAGGGAAGCGUUUGACACCAGUGUUGUUUUCUCGAAAAUCAAUUAAAAAUGGCUCGAUUUUGUAUUGUUGAGACCUUAAAAGCUCACUGUACAUUUUUCGUGUCUUUUUUAACGCACUUUUCGUUUAACAAGUCAACAUCAGUUUCUUUUGUUGUAAUAGGGUCAUUGGAAGGUGGCUUUCUUUUCGGAGAAAGUGUUUAUAGCCUUUGGCCUCUGCAAUCGGAAGAGACUGAGGUCUGCAGCGUAGACUCUUCGGGGUUAGAUACAUUUGUGCUAAGUUAUAGCUUUUUAUAGACAACUUGUUGACUAUAAUUAGUCUUGUAGCUUACUCGCUUAUGCUAUUUUACCUACGCUUAGGAUGUUGAAGAUGUAGCACAUCAU
This 775-nucleotide ribosomal RNA is filed under the name uncultured Neocallimastigales. RNAcentral describes it as "partial large subunit ribosomal RNA". It matches the Rfam family "Eukaryotic large subunit ribosomal RNA", at positions 23 to 634 of the family's 3401-position model. Lineage: Eukaryota; Fungi; Neocallimastigomycota; Neocallimastigomycetes; Neocallimastigales. The record is from RNAcentral.